This 253-nucleotide ribosomal RNA is filed under the name uncultured bacterium. RNAcentral describes it as "partial 16S ribosomal RNA". It matches the Rfam family "Bacterial small subunit ribosomal RNA", at positions 524 to 776 of the family's 1533-position model. The record is from RNAcentral.
UACGUGGGGUGCGAGCGUUGUUCGGAAUUACUGGGCGUAAAGCGUGUGAAGGCGGUCUGCUAAGUCUGGUGUGAAAGCCCUGAGCUUAACUCAGGAACUGCGCCGGAAACUAGUAGACUAGAGUUCGGGAGAGGGUAGUGGAAUUCCUGGUGUAGAGGUGAAAUUCGUAGAUAUCAGGAGGAACACCGGUGGCGAAGGCGGCGACCUGGGCCGACACUGACGCUAAUGCACGAAAGCGUGGGGAGCAAACAGG